AUACGGAGGGUGCGAGCGUUAAUCGGAAUUACUGGGCGUAAAGCGCGCGUAGGCGGCUUUGUAAGUCGGAUGUGAAAGCCCUGGGCUCAACCUGGGAAUUGCACUCGAUACUGCAGAGCUAGAGUAUGGUAGAGGGAAGUGGAAUUUCCGGUGUAGCGGUGAAAUGCGUAGAUAUCGGAAGGAACACCAGUGGCGAAGGCGACUUCCUGGGCCAAUACUGACGCUGAGGUGCGAAAGCGUGGGGAGCAAACAGGAUUAGAAACCCCAGUAGUCC
Molecule: ribosomal RNA, 274 nt
Filed under: uncultured bacterium
Lineage: Bacteria
Description: partial 16S ribosomal RNA
Rfam family: Bacterial small subunit ribosomal RNA
Source: RNAcentral